This is a non-coding RNA of Passer domesticus (house sparrow), 438 nucleotides long. The record is from the annotation of a RefSeq genome assembly. NCBI's taxonomy places the organism in Eukaryota, Metazoa, Chordata, Aves, Passeriformes, Passeridae.
AUGCGGCGGGCUCGGGGCGCGGCGCUGCCAGCGCUGGCCGCGCUGAUGAUGAUCGUGGCUACAGGAAGAGCCCAGGUACAGCAGGAGCCAUUCCUGGAGACCACAGAAGGCGACGGCAUCAACAUCACCUGCUCACACCCCAAAAAAGUGCUCGGUGAAUACAUCCACUUCUACCGUCAUCUGCCUGGCAAAGGCCCCGAAUUCCUCGCCCUCACAGCUAGAGGCUCCAAGGAAGUGCCGGCCAUUGCAGGAAAGUUGACGGUGUCGCAGGACGGGCGUUCGAGCGCGCUGUGGCUCGGGCGGCCCCGGCGCGGGGACGCGGCCGUGUAUUACUGCGCGCUGGGGCCACGGGCAGAGGAGCCGGGGCUGCGGCCGGGCACGAACCGCCGCGGGCGGGGCCGGGCGGGGCCAGCAGGGGGCGCUGCCGCUCCCGCUUGA